UUUUAAAGAUGAGUGCUUGAAGAAUAAAUCUUUUUCAGUGACAGUAGGCACAGCUUGAUAAAAUUCAGGUUUAUUUUCAUACUGCUAUAAUAAGGGGCUGUAGUCUGAUUAAUUCUUUAAAUUACUGAAGAAUUAAAAAACUGAGAACAAAUUGCACUUCUUAAGGCAAUUCCCAAGGUUUAGUGGUAUUCCUGUUAAUAUGCUUGAUUAUUCUAUUUCUGCUUUUCAAUCCAUCGUCUUCUCUUUGACAGCAGAAUUAAUUGGGACUCCUCCUUUAAUAUAUCUGAGGUCAAGUGCCUUUGCCUGUCCCUUUAAGACACUUAUGAUCUUGUUUACCAGUCCUAAUUUAUCAUUUUUGUAUUUGGUCUUCCACUUGACGUUGAGUGGUUUGUCACACCCUGUGUUAUGACUUAGACCAAGCUAGUUCCCUUCUUAGUAGUUACUGAGGAAUUAACCAUUUGUGGUGAAAGGCUUCUAAAA
RNAcentral lists this long non-coding RNA (480 nucleotides) under Bos taurus (domestic cattle). Its description in RNAcentral is "long non-coding RNA NONBTAT027826". The record is from RNAcentral. Lineage: Eukaryota; Metazoa; Chordata; Mammalia; Artiodactyla; Bovidae.